AUGCUGGCUGUGUGGCCAGCAUACCUCCUGCCUUUUCAACGAUUCCUCUGCCCUGGAUAGAGAGCGGUGUCUCAUAACAGUUUGGAAACUACAAAAGUUUCCCUGGCAGGAUGAAUGAUUGACUCGGCAACAUGUUCUUGCCUUUUGGAGUUGCCCUCCAAUUUUUCCAGGCUUGAUUCUGUAAAUCAUUUCAUCUUGUAAAAAUACUGGGCUGUGAGCACGGAUGAUCUCAAAGAUGAGGAAACAGAAGCUGGGAUAUGUGAGUAAACAUUUCCAAGGUCCUGCAGCUAAUCAAUGGUUGACAACUUCUUUCCUCUGCCUAUGUUGCCAUCCAUGUCAUGGUUUGUGUCAAGACUCUAGGAGAAGUCUACCAUCAGCACCACAGCUACUGUGCACAAAUCCAGAAUGCCAGACUGAAGUCAGAAGGAAAGGCCGUCAUCUGUUCUGGUGUAAAGUGGAGGGAAGAAAACAAAGUAGGAUGGCUUGAGAUCCUUCCUGAAGAAGAAACAGGAGGAAAAUAGUCCCCAGCCUUGCUAAAGACAUUAGAAAGCAGAGCCAUACUGUGGAACAGUCACUGGAGUUAAAAUUAAAAGACUGGAAUUCCA
This 605-nucleotide long non-coding RNA is filed under the name Homo sapiens (human). Its description in RNAcentral is "long intergenic non-protein coding RNA 3007". The record is from RNAcentral. Lineage: Eukaryota; Metazoa; Chordata; Mammalia; Primates; Hominidae.